AGUGAACGCUGGCGGUAGGCCUAACACAUGCAAGUCGAACGGCAGCACAGUAAGAGCUUGCUCUUACGGGUGGCGAGUGGCGGACUGGUGAGGAAUACAUCGGAAUCUACUUUUUCGUGGGGGAUAACGUAGGGAAACUUACGCUAAUACCUCAUACGACCUACGGGUGAAAGCAGGGGAUCUUCGGACCUUGCGCGAUUGAAUGAGCCGAUGUCGGAUUAGCUAGUUGGCGGGGUAAAGGCCCACCAAGGCGACGAUCCGUAGCUGGUCUGAGAGGAUGAUCGGCCACACUGGAACUGAGACACGGUCCAGACUCCUACGGGAGGCAGCAGUGGGGAAUAUUGGACAAUGGGCGCAAGCCUGAUCCAGCCAUACCGCGUGGGUGAAGAAGGCCUUCGGGUUGUAAAGCCCUUUUGUUGGGAAAGAAAAGCAGCAGGUUAAUACCCCGCUGUUCUGACGGUACCCAAAGAAUAAGCACCGGCUAACUUCGUG
RNAcentral lists this ribosomal RNA (492 nucleotides) under uncultured bacterium. RNAcentral's name for it is "partial 16S ribosomal RNA". It matches the Rfam family "Bacterial small subunit ribosomal RNA", at positions 29 to 507 of the family's 1533-position model. The record is from RNAcentral.